Long non-coding RNA from Micropterus dolomieu (smallmouth bass), 1297 nucleotides. RefSeq lists it as uncharacterized. NCBI's taxonomy places the organism in Eukaryota, Metazoa, Chordata, Actinopteri, Centrarchiformes, Centrarchidae. The transcript is spliced from 3 exons. The record is from RefSeq and is a predicted model, not a curated record.
GACAGUUGUUUGUUAAAACUUUUAUAAAACGUUUUCGUUCUUCUGUUUUGUUUGUGUUUUUGAAGAAGACAGAAAAGGAAGUGAUUGGGUCAGGUGUUCCACGGUGUUAUGCUCCUAGAAAAUGUGUUCGUCACUGCGUUUCACCAGUUCAGUGUAGUUUGUUUAUUUUUGUCACCGUGGCAACCUAGGACCAGUGUAUGCUGGGAAACGAAAAGAAAACUGCCAUGCGGUGAUCUGCUACAGUCAUGUGUGAGCUCUCCCAGCUUCUGAGUUGAUUGCUCUUUAUUCUCCCUCUUUGCUUAGGCAACGUCUUUUCACAAGAUUCCCAGUAACCUUUAUGGAAGUGAAUCACCUGUGUCCUGGAGUUUCUUGGGAGUGUUUAAACUGAAUGGAAAUGUAGCCCAUGACACACAGACCAAUGAGCCUAUCAUCAACAAGGAACCACGUGCAAGGAGCCUGCCGCUACAAUAAAUGCAAGCAUCAUCUGACAUCUGUCAUCAUCACUGUCCUCUCACUCAAAAGGAACCAAGCAGAAGCUUUGCAUAAUGGUGGUGCAAGUCAAUAAUAUGUAGUAGAACCAGAAAUGGUUCAUCUGGUGCUGCAGCCCUGGAAGGAAAAGGCAACUUCCCAGCACUGAUCCCAAUUGCUGCAAAAGCAAGUCCAUUGGGGAAUAUACAUCUCCGCUUACCUCAAAGUCCUUGUAUCUUAAGUUUUGCGACUUAGCUGCUUGACGUCAUAGACGUGGAGCUUACCUACAUUGCAGAGACGGUGUUGCCCAGCGUCACAGAGAUGCUCAACAAUCUGGAGAUUCAGCUGGUUGGUCAGAACAGCCACCAGGGGCAAUUCGGGGUUCAGUAUCUUGCCCAAGGACACUUCGACACGCAACUAGGGGGAGCCAGGGAUUGAACCACUGACCUUCCGAUGGAAGGACCCUCUACCUCCGCAGCAGCUCCUACUAACCCAGCUGCAGCCACAAGGAAGAGGUGCCGAUUCUGCACUGGCAAGAGCGAUCUCAAAACCUGCAUCAGGUGCCAAAAUUGCAUGGCAAACAUUUGCAAAAAACAUUACCACCACACACUGCCUAUCAUGCAAAUGAUAGCACAUUCACACAGAGACACACACCUGCACUUACACAUGUAAGUAAUAAGCAUGUAUAUUACACAAAAUUAAAGUUUUAAGUUUUAGAAAUAAAUGUUGCCUGUUCUAUGUAAAUGAAUUUAUUUAUCUCUUUGUUUACUCUGUUAAUUUGUGAAUAAAAUUCCAUCAAAUGUUGACCUAGGAAUAUAUAUCAGUCUGU